This 74-nucleotide transfer RNA is filed under the name Deltaproteobacteria bacterium. Its description in RNAcentral is "tRNA-Lys". It matches the Rfam family "tRNA". From Rfam's summary of the family: Transfer RNA (tRNA) molecules are approximately 80 nucleotides in length. The record is from RNAcentral. Lineage: Bacteria; Pseudomonadati; Myxococcota; Myxococcia.
GGGUCGUUAGCUCAAUGGUAGAGCCGUGGGCUUUUAACCCACCGACCAGGGUUCGAUUCCCUGGCGACCCACCA